UGGAUUUCUGUUGAUUGCAGCUUCAGUCGUGAUCUGCUGCAUCUGCAAGAAAUGUGGAAAAAGAGGCACGACACAGGAAGAAGACAGAACUGAUUCAGCUGAAAUUUGUAAACCAACAAUACAAAAAACGAAAUCAAAGACGGAUGGUGUGCAUGAAAAUGUCCCCAAAAAAAUGUGUGUAGGCG
Long non-coding RNA from Sinocyclocheilus grahami, 185 nucleotides. RefSeq lists it as uncharacterized. Lineage: Eukaryota; Metazoa; Chordata; Actinopteri; Cypriniformes; Cyprinidae. The transcript has 3 exons. The record is from RefSeq and is a predicted model, not a curated record.